RNAcentral lists this ribosomal RNA (443 nucleotides) under uncultured prokaryote. RNAcentral describes it as "bacterial SSU rRNA". It matches the Rfam family "Bacterial small subunit ribosomal RNA", at positions 355 to 796 of the family's 1533-position model. The record is from RNAcentral.
UAGGGAAUAUUGGUCAAUGGGCGGAAGCCUGAACCAGCCAUGCCGCGUGCAGGAAGACGGCCUUCUGGGUUGUAAACUGCUUUUACCAGGGAACAAAUAGGCCAUGCGUGGCAAGUUGAGUGUACCUGGGGAAUAAGCACCGGCUAACUCCGUGCCAGCAGCCGCGGUAAUACGGAGGGUGCAAGCGUUGUCCGGAUUUAUUGGGUUUAAAGGGUGCGUAGGCGGGGUAUCCAGUUAGGGGUGAAAGCCCGGGGCUCAACCUCGGAACUGCCUUUAAAACUGAUACUCUAGAGUCCGGAAGAGGGUCGCGGAAUUCCCAGUGUAGAGGUGAAAUUCGUAGAUAUUGGGAAGAACACCGGUGGCGAAGGCGGCGACCUGGUCCGGUACUGACGCUGAGGCGCGAAAGCGUGGGGAGCAAACAGGAUUAGAUACCCGCGUAGUCC